UGUCCCUCCACGCCAGGACUGAGUUGUGGGGGAGGGAGGCGGUUAGCGGGCUUUAGCGCCUUUUCUGGCGGCGGUAGAUUUGAAGCGCUUCAAAGGACCGGACCCAGAGAAGAGGAAAACUCUACCGGUGCAGGAGCACAGGGAUCAGUUGUCCUUGUUUUUUUUUUGGUCUUUUCUUCAUUUGAAGAUUAAGUAUUGGAGCCAUGGGAAUAAAGGUUCAACGUCCUCGAUGUUUUUUUGACAUUGCCAUUAACAAUCAACCUGCUGGAAGAGUUGUCUUUGAAUUGUUUUCUGAUGUGUGCCCCAAAACAUGCGAGAACUUUCGUUGUCUUUGUACAGGUGAAAAGGGGACCGGGAAAUCAACUCAGAAACCAUUACAUUAUAAGAGUUGUCUCUUUCACAGAGUUGUCAAGGAUUUUAUGGUUCAAGGUGGUGACUUCAGUGAAGGAAAUGGACGAGGAGGGGAAUCUAUCUAUGGAGGAUUUUUUGAAGACGAGAGUUUCGCUGUUAAACACAACAAAGAAUUUCUCUUGUCAAUGGCCAACAGAGGGAAGGAUACAAAUGGUUCACAGUUCUUCAUUUAAGAAAGAAGAAAAGAAAAGGCAUAAAUCAUCAUCAUCUUCCUCCUCCUCAUCUAGUGACUCAGAUAGCUCAAGUGAUUCUCAGUCCUCUUCUGAUUCCUCUGAUUCUG
This 691-nucleotide small RNA is filed under the name Pongo abelii (Sumatran orangutan). RNAcentral describes it as "processed transcript". Lineage: Eukaryota; Metazoa; Chordata; Mammalia; Primates; Hominidae. The record is from RNAcentral.